RNAcentral lists this long non-coding RNA (941 nucleotides) under Hordeum vulgare. RNAcentral describes it as "long non-coding RNA (HVUL_LNC005199)". The record is from RNAcentral. Lineage: Eukaryota; Viridiplantae; Streptophyta; Magnoliopsida; Poales; Poaceae.
GGACUGAGAUCUCGUGUCACUCGGGGCUGCUGCGGUGCUGCGUGGAGGAGGUGCUCCAGGCGAAAGCUUGCCGGGCAAGAGCUUGCCGGCCGACGAUGUCGGCGUCUGUGGACGUCGUCUUACCUUCUUGGAGGCACCGUUGAGGAGUUCUCUCCCUACACAUCCUCGGAUCCAGUUCUUUGGGUGAAAACCUUAGGCCCGGUUGGGCCGGACGACGGCGUCGACAUCGUCGCUUCCUCCUUGGGGGCGUCGUCUUGAAGAGCCUUGGAUUUCGAUUGCACUCUUCAGGGGCUAGACGCUCGCGACAUUGCGGUCGGCUGGGGAUCGUCCGGCAAUGUGGAUGAUCUGCGCGGUUUCUUGUGUGGCAACGAUGGCCCCUUCAAGCGGAGAAGGAUUUGUUGUUGGGUCCUGGUAGUCGGUCUCGUCCGGCAUGUUCGAGGGGUCGUCGUGCCUCUCUUGUCUUCUGAAGUCGGAGCCGUUUGAGGGGGAUCCUUGCGGCGACGAUGACGUGAAGAUGGGUGGUUGGUUCUGGCGCUGGCUCGACGCAGGUCCAGUGCUUUCUUCCUUCAAUGCUCGUCGGCUGAGUCGAAGUUGCCUGGUCGCCGGUGCGUGUGGUGGACUGUUUGGCGUUGUCCGACGCAGGCCUCUACGCUUGUCUGAGGUGCAGGCUACAUUGGUGGUCGUCGAUGGUGAAGUCGGAGUCGCCCUCGCGGAGGCGUGAUGACGAUGACGCCGGAUUACAACCUCGACGAAGUUCUUCCCUUAGGCGGCGUGUGUGCGUUCUUGUAAAGGUUGCCAGGUCGCCCUGUGUGCCUUGUUGUGGCGGGCGCAUUGUGACGGUUUUAGCCCGGUUUUCUGAUUAUUAACCGGGCAACUCUCUUCGACCUUUUUUAAUAAGAUCGGUACCUCAGGGACCGUGUUUUAAAAAAAAAUAUAGCCGC